Molecule: long non-coding RNA, 421 nt
Organism: Onychostoma macrolepis
Lineage: Eukaryota; Metazoa; Chordata; Actinopteri; Cypriniformes; Cyprinidae
Exons: 3
Source: RefSeq, a predicted model, not a curated record
UAAAAUUAUAGCAAGAAUUUAGGCCUACUUGUUGUAUCUGAAUGUCUUUGAACAAUUUUCUUAGAAAUAUCAAACAUUAGAAGAAGCUUGCUCCACGUUAGUUGAAUUGAUGCUGAGAUGCAAUUUGAGCUGGAAGAUAAUGUCUGCUUCACUUCAAAGAACUGCAAAAGAGGAUGAGUGUAACCAAAUGGGCAGCAAUUUGAAGAUGGAGACACUUAAGAGAAGACUUCAUGGAAAAGGCUUUCCAGAAGGCCCCUUGAAUGUCCACAUGGUGGCACUGCAUCUUUAAAGACUGUUGCAGAAUGCUAACAGACAGAAAAUCAUCCAUUGGGGUGCUACGGACUCAGGGACCAUCCACUCAGACAGUCAGUCAGUCCAAUAGGAAAAAGUUAUAUUUUCUAGCUAAUGUGUUAGGUCCUAC